Molecule: ribosomal RNA, 492 nt
Filed under: uncultured bacterium
Lineage: Bacteria
Description: partial 16S ribosomal RNA
Rfam family: Bacterial small subunit ribosomal RNA
Source: RNAcentral
AGUGAACGCUGGCGGUAGGCCUAACACAUGCAAGUCGAACGGCAGCACAGUAAUGGCUUGCUCUUACGGGUGGCGAGUUGCGGAUGGGUGAGGAAUACAUCGGUAUCUACUUUGUCGUGGGGGAUAACGUAGGGGAACUUACGCUAAUACGGCAUACGAUCUACGGUUGAAAGCAGGGGAUCUUCGGACCUUGCGCGAUAGAAUGAGCCGAUGUCGGAUUAGCUAGUUGGCGGGGUAAAGGCCCACCAAGGCGACGAUCCGUAGCUGGUCUGAGAGGAUGAUCAGCCACACUGGAACUGAGACACGGUCCAGACUCCUACGGGAGGCAGCAGUGGGGAAUAUUGGACAAUGGGCGCAAGCCUGAUCCAGCCAUACCGCGUGAGUGAAGAAGGACUUCGGGUUGUAAAGCCCUUUUGUUGGGAAAGAAGAGCAGCAGGUUAAUCCGCCGCUGUUCUGACGGUACCCGAAGAAUAAGCACCGGCUAACUUCGUG